UACGAGUGCUCCAAGCGUUAUCCGGAAUCACUGGGCGUAAAGGGUCCGUAGGCGGUCUUGUUAGUCUUUUGUUAAAGCCCGGAGCUCAACUCCGGAAAGGUGAAAGAAACGGCAAGACUAGAGGAUGCGAGAGGUUGUUGGAACUCAUAGUGUAGGGGUGAAAUCCGUUGAUCUUAUGGGGAACACCAAAAGCGAAGGCAAACAACUGGCGCAUUCCUGACGCUGAGGGACGAAAGCGUGGGUCGCGAAUGGG
RNAcentral lists this unclassified non-coding RNA (253 nucleotides) under uncultured Parcubacteria group bacterium. RNAcentral's name for it is "contains 16S-23S intergenic spacer region". It matches the Rfam family "Bacterial small subunit ribosomal RNA", at positions 524 to 776 of the family's 1533-position model. The record is from RNAcentral.